UACGUAGGGUGCGAGCGUUAAUCGGAAUUACUGGGCGUAAAGCGUGCGCAGGCGGUUCGCUAAGACCGAUGUGAAAUCCCCGGGCUUAACCUGGGAACUGCAUUUGUGACUGCAUGGCUGGAGUGCGGCAGAGGGGGAUGGAAUUCCGCGUGUAGCAGUGAAAUGCGUAGAUAUGCGGAGGAACACCGAUGGCGAAGGCAAUCCCCUGGGCCUGCACUGACGCUCAUGCACGAAAGCGUGGGGAGCAAACAGG
RNAcentral lists this ribosomal RNA (253 nucleotides) under uncultured bacterium. Its description in RNAcentral is "partial 16S ribosomal RNA". It matches the Rfam family "Bacterial small subunit ribosomal RNA", at positions 524 to 776 of the family's 1533-position model. The record is from RNAcentral.